Molecule: small nuclear RNA, 105 nt
Organism: Meriones unguiculatus (Mongolian gerbil)
Lineage: Eukaryota; Metazoa; Chordata; Mammalia; Rodentia; Muridae
Gene: U4
Rfam family: U4 spliceosomal RNA
About the family: U4 small nuclear RNA (U4 snRNA) is a component of the major U2-dependent spliceosome. The structure of U4 snRNA from yeast and human has been reported.
Source: Ensembl
AGCUUUGCGCAGUGGCAGUAUCGUAGCCAAUGAGGUUUAUCCGAGGCGCGAUUAUUGCUAAUUGAAAACUUAAAAUGUUCAAAUUUUUACUUCUUAUAAUAAUAA